CCCAACUGUUGGCAACUGCCUAGGUUGCCUUGUACCUAGCAAGUGUCACACUGCUGAGAGAAAAGCAGCCAAUAGCUGGUUGUCAUUCUGGGCCUGGCUAAGGCCAAAUUUGUGUUAACUAUGCCAGUGUGCCAGCAUAAU
Small nucleolar RNA from Ochotona princeps (American pika), 141 nucleotides. Its record names the gene SNORA74. It matches the Rfam family "Small nucleolar RNA SNORA74". Rfam says of the family: U19 belongs to the H/ACA class of snoRNAs. snoRNAs bind a number of proteins (including dyskerin, Gar1p and Nop10p in the case of the H/ACA class) to form snoRNP complexes. This class are thought to guide the sites of modification of uridines to pseudouridines by forming direct base pairing interactions with substrate RNAs. The record is from Ensembl. NCBI's taxonomy places the organism in Eukaryota, Metazoa, Chordata, Mammalia, Lagomorpha, Ochotonidae.